This 74-nucleotide transfer RNA is filed under the name Deltaproteobacteria bacterium. RNAcentral's name for it is "tRNA-Lys". It matches the Rfam family "tRNA". Rfam says of the family: Transfer RNA (tRNA) molecules are approximately 80 nucleotides in length. Their secondary structure includes four short double-helical elements and three loops (D, anti-codon, and T loops). RNAcentral also lists the same sequence under 2 other names. The record is from RNAcentral. Lineage: Bacteria; Pseudomonadati; Myxococcota; Myxococcia.
GGGCUGUUAGCUCAGUUAGGCAGAGCAAGUGACUCUUAAUCACUGGGUCGAGGGUUCGAUUCCCCCACAGCCCA